This 253-nucleotide ribosomal RNA is filed under the name uncultured bacterium. RNAcentral describes it as "partial 16S ribosomal RNA". It matches the Rfam family "Bacterial small subunit ribosomal RNA", at positions 524 to 776 of the family's 1533-position model. The record is from RNAcentral.
GACAGAGGGGGCAAGCGUUGCUCGGAAUUACUGGGCGUAAAGGGCGCGUAGGCGGGAUGGCAAGUCGGUCGUGAAAUCCUUCGGCCCAACCGAAGAACGUCGAUCGAUACUGCUGUUCUAGAGGAUUGCAGAGGAGACUGGAAUUCCCGGUGUAGCGGUGAAAUGUGUAGAUAUCAGGAGGAAUACCGAUGGCGAAGGCAGGUCUCUGGGCUGACACUGACGCUCAUGCACGAAAGCGUGGGGAGCAAACAGG